UAGUGGCGAACGGGUGAGUAACACGUGAGUAACCUGCCCUUAACUCUGGGAUAAGCCUUGGAAACGGGGUCUAAUACUGGAUAUUGACUUUACCUCGCAUGGGGUUUGGUUGAAAGAUUUAUUGGUUUUGGAUGGACUCGCGGCCUAUCAGCUUGUUGGUGAGGUAAUGGCUCACCAAGGCGACGACGGGUAGCCGGCCUGAGAGGGUGACCGGCCACACUGGGACUGAGACACGGCCCAGACUCCUACGGGAGGCAGCAGUGGGGAAUAUUGCACAAUGGGCGAAAGCCUGAUGCAGCGACGCCGCGUGAGGGAUGACGGCCUUCGGGUUGUAAACCUCUUUCAGUAGGGAACAAGGCCAGCAUUUUUGUUGGUUGAGGGUACUUGCAGAAGAAGCGCCGGCUAACUACGUGCCAGCAGCCGCGGUAAUACGUAGGGCGCAAGCGUUAUCCGGAAUUAUUGGGCGUAAAGAGCUCGUAGGCGGUUUGUCGCGUCUGCCGUGAAAGUCCGGGGCUCAACCCCGGAUCUGCGGUGGGUACGGGCAGACUAGAGUGAUGUAGGGGAGACUGGAAUUCCUGGUG
RNAcentral lists this ribosomal RNA (581 nucleotides) under Arthrobacter sp. RNAcentral's name for it is "bacterial SSU rRNA". It matches the Rfam family "Bacterial small subunit ribosomal RNA", at positions 93 to 675 of the family's 1533-position model. Lineage: Bacteria; Bacillati; Actinomycetota; Actinomycetes; Micrococcales; Micrococcaceae. The record is from RNAcentral.